This is a long non-coding RNA of Carassius carassius (crucian carp), 561 nucleotides long. RefSeq lists it as uncharacterized. The record is from RefSeq and is a predicted model, not a curated record. NCBI's taxonomy places the organism in Eukaryota, Metazoa, Chordata, Actinopteri, Cypriniformes, Cyprinidae. The transcript has 2 exons.
UGUGCAUAUGAAUUGAAUUCAACGUUUCACUGUGCGAAUAACUAUUUCCGUGCUGUGCGCGUGUGUCCCGACCGACUUCAUGUGGGGAACAGCAGCCAAAAAUCGGACAUUGGCACUUUAAAUUCUGCCCCGGGUCAUUCAGAGCGCACAGCCACGCGCAAUGCCGAAGAAAGAGGAAGAGAGUUGAUGGAAUCUAAAAACCAAUGUAAAGAUAAUUCUGGCUGUUGCUCCAGUGAUAAAGUGGCACUGGCGGUCUGGAAGGAGACAGAGAGAGAAACGAGGACUGACCUUCCCAGAUUGGAGAGUGUAGGCUCUGCCACGGUCCUCCACACCAUCUAGAUGACUGCUUCAUGUCACUUUUGAGCCACUGUGUGCAGCAUUACUGUAUAAGGGUGAUUGUGGGUGAUAGUGUGUGUGUGUGUAAGGUGGAAGUGUUGAGAAGAUGCUUGAAGAUGAUGGUGAUGAUUGAAAAAUGAAAAAAAAUGACCUUUUGCUUCUUUGCAUGCAACACAUUUCUGCUUGUCUGAUUCCGCACAAUAAAAAGCACUAUGAUAACAACAA